UAAGAAUGUCUUCAUUUUGUGGAUGAAGAAACUGAGGCCCAAGAAGUUAAGCAGCUGGAAUGAAAGUCACAUGGACUAGCAGCCGGGAUAUUUACUGACCACCACCAUCCUCUGUCUCCCACUAGUUGGGAGGUGUCACUGGGAACACGACAUUUCUCAUACUUCCCAGCAGCAUGUAUGAGGAUGCCAGGGAGUGUCUGUCUGCACUAGGUCUUUGGGACUCGGAUCCAGCUCCUGAAACUUUUGAGCCUGGGUUAGAGAAGACUCCGAGUUUCUUUCUGAAGAAGUUACAACAGAAGCACGGCUAGUGCAGGUGGAAUGAGUAUCUGGAACAAUUGAUAAGCCAUCUUCCUGCAAUUCCCAAGUGCGUCUGGGACCCCCUUAGAGGGGGUCCCCCCUCUAAGUAUCAGGGACCCCCUGAGAUUGAAAUACAAUUAGCCUGAGGUGCUGGGAUUCUGGGUACCCUACCCCCAAAGGUUUAGCUUUCAACUAGUUUAC
Hyaena hyaena (striped hyena) is the source of this 498-nucleotide long non-coding RNA. RefSeq lists it as uncharacterized. Lineage: Eukaryota; Metazoa; Chordata; Mammalia; Carnivora; Hyaenidae. The record is from RefSeq and is a predicted model, not a curated record. The transcript is spliced from 3 exons.